RNAcentral lists this ribosomal RNA (680 nucleotides) under Micrococcus sp. RNAcentral's name for it is "bacterial SSU rRNA". It matches the Rfam family "Bacterial small subunit ribosomal RNA", at positions 169 to 861 of the family's 1533-position model. Lineage: Bacteria; Bacillati; Actinomycetota; Actinomycetes; Micrococcales; Micrococcaceae. The record is from RNAcentral.
CCGGAUAGGAGCGUCCACCGCAUGGUGGGUGUUGGAAAGAUUUAUCGGUUUUGGAUGGACUCGCGGCCUAUCAGCUUGUUGGUGAGGUAAUGGCUCACCAAGGCGACGACGGGUAGCCGGCCUGAGAGGGUGACCGGCCACACUGGGACUGAGACACGGCCCAGACUCCUACGGGAGGCAGCAGUGGGGAAUAUUGCACAAUGGGCGCAAGCCUGAUGCAGCGACGCCGCGUGAGGGAUGACGGCCUUCGGGUUGUAAACCUCUUUCAGUAGGGAAGAAGCGAAAGUGACGGUACCUGCAGAAGAAGCACCGGCUAACUACGUGCCAGCAGCCGCGGUAAUACGUAGGGUGCGAGCGUUAUCCGGAAUUAUUGGGCGUAAAGAGCUCGUAGGCGGUUUGUCGCGUCUGUCGUGAAAGUCCGGGGCUUAACCCCGGAUCUGCGGUGGGUACGGGCAGACUAGAGUGCAGUAGGGGAGACUGGAAUUCCUGGUGUAGCGGUGGAAUGCGCAGAUAUCAGGAGGAACACCGAUGGCGAAGGCAGGUCUCUGGGCUGUAACUGACGCUGAGGAGCGAAAGCAUGGGGAGCGAACAGGAUUAGAUACCCUGGUAGUCCAUGCCGUAAACGUUGGGCACUAGGUGUGGGGACCAUUCCACGGUUUCCGCGCCGCAGCUAACGCAUU